GAUAAACGCUGGCGGCGCACAUAAGACAUGCAAGUCGAACGGACUUAACCAUUAGUUUACUAAUGGAGCGGUUAGUGGCGGACUGGUGAGUAACACGUAAGCAACCUACAUAUCAGAGGGGAACAACAGUUAGAAACGACUGCUAAUACCGGAUAGGCAGAGAGGAGGCAUCUCUUCUCUGUUAAAGUUGGGAUACAACGCAAACAGAUGGAUCUGCGGUGCAUUAGCUAGUUGGUGAGGUAACGGCCCACCAAGGCGAUGAUGCAUAGCCGGCCUGAGAGGGCGAACGGCCACAUUGGGACUGAGACACGGCCCAA
RNAcentral lists this ribosomal RNA (317 nucleotides) under uncultured bacterium. RNAcentral's name for it is "bacterial SSU rRNA". It matches the Rfam family "Bacterial small subunit ribosomal RNA", at positions 28 to 334 of the family's 1533-position model. The record is from RNAcentral.